RNAcentral lists this ribosomal RNA (936 nucleotides) under Rigidoporus sp. Its description in RNAcentral is "partial large subunit ribosomal RNA". It matches the Rfam family "Eukaryotic large subunit ribosomal RNA", at positions 39 to 961 of the family's 3401-position model. The record is from RNAcentral. Lineage: Eukaryota; Fungi; Basidiomycota; Agaricomycetes; Polyporales; Meripilaceae.
CAUAUCAAUAAGCGGAGGAAAAGAAACUAACAAGGAUUCCCCUAGUAACUGCGAGUGAAGCGGGAAAAGCUCAAAUUUAAAAUCUGGCAGUCUUUGGCUGUCCGAGUUGUAAUCUGGAGAAGUGUUUUCCGCGCUGGACCGUGUACAAGUCUCUUGGAAUAGAGCGUCAUAGAGGGUGAGAAUCCCGUCUUUGACACGGACUACCAGUGCUUUGUGAUGCGCUUUCAAAGAGUCGAGUUGUUUGGGAAUGCAGCUCAAAAUGGGUGGUAAAUUCCAUCUAAAGCUAAAUAUUGGCGAGAGACCGAUAGCGAACAAGUACCGUGAGGGAAAGAUGAAAAGCACUUUGGAAAGAGAGUUAAACAGUACGUGAAAUUGCUGAAAGGGAAACGCUUGAAGUCAGUCGCGUUGUUCAGAACUCAGCCUGGCUUUGGCUUGGUGCAUUUUCUGAAUAACGGGCCAGCAUCAAUUUUGACUGUUGGAUAAAGGCCAGGGAAAUGUGGCUCCCUUGGGAGUGUUAUAGUCCUUGGUUGCAUACAAUGGUUGGGAUUGAGGAACUCAGCAUGCCUUUAUGGUCGGGGUUCGCCCACGUUCAUGCUUAGGAUGCUGGCGUAAUGGCUUUAAACGACCCGUCUUGAAACACGGACCAAGGAGUCUAACAUGCCUGCGAGUGUUUGGGUGGAAAACCCGAGCGCGCAAUGAAAGUGAAAGUUGGGAUCUCUGUCGUGGAGAGCACCAAUGCCCGGACCAGACCUUCUGUGACGGCUCCGCGGUAGAGCAUGUAUGUUGGGACCCGAAAGAUGGUGAACUAUGCCUGAAUAGGGUGAAGCCAGAGGAAACUCUGGUGGAGGCUCGUAGCGAUUCUGACGUGCAAAUCGAUCGUCAAAUUUGGGUAUAGGGGCGAAAGACUAAUCGAACCAUCUAGUAGCUGGUUCCUGC